This 405-nucleotide ribosomal RNA is filed under the name uncultured bacterium. Its description in RNAcentral is "bacterial SSU rRNA". It matches the Rfam family "Bacterial small subunit ribosomal RNA", at positions 355 to 776 of the family's 1533-position model. The record is from RNAcentral.
CUAGGAAUUUUGCGCAAUGGGAGAAAUCCUGACGCAGCAACGCCGCGUGGGUGAGGAAGGCCUUCGGGUUGUAAAGCCCUUUUAGCAGGGACGAAACAAGACGGUACCUGCAGAAGAAGCACCGGCCAACUCCGUGCCAGCAGCCGCGGUAAUACGGAGGGUGCAAGCGUUAUUCGGAAUUACUGGGCGUAAAGGGCGCGUAGGCUGUUUGCUAAGUCCGAUGUGAAAGCCCUCGACUCAAUCGAGGAAGUGCAUUGGAUACUGGCAGACUGGAGUACAGGAGAGGUAGACGGAAUUCCCGGUGUAGAGGUGAAAUUCGUAGAUAUCGGGAGGAACAACAGAGGCGAAGGCGGUCUACUGGACUGUUACUGACGCUGAGGCGCGAAAGCGUGGGGAGCAAACAGG